AUGGACCAGCUAGAAGAUGAAGGUGACAUGAUGUUGAUGUGUGAACUCGUGGACGAGGAGGAUCCAGUUUUUCAAGCGUCGGUUAAAGAAAUUGUCGAGCUCCGUGAAGAAAAAGUUCGCUCUCAAGAUCGUGGUUCGGAAACUCGUGUCGAUGCUACAGACGUGAGGGGUGAUUUCGAAUGUUGUGUCGAUGAUAGAGACACGAAAAGUUAUGUUGAAAUUUGUGUCGAAAGUAAUGACACUGGUGGUACGUUCUCUAGCAUGAGCGUGAGGAUGGAUACGGAAGUAUCGAGUGGAUCCUCGUUGAUGAGCUCUAGCACAAGCAUGAAGAAACAUGGAGCUGAGAACACGUCGUGGCUCGAAGGCGAAGGGCACGGUAGCGUUGCAUGCAGCUCAGGAACGGGCGCAAAAUGCAACCUAAGCGUUGCUGUAGAAAGACUUGAAGAUUUUUUUUAG
Molecule: ribosomal RNA, 456 nt
Filed under: Triticum aestivum (bread wheat)
Lineage: Eukaryota; Viridiplantae; Streptophyta; Magnoliopsida; Poales; Poaceae
Description: partial small subunit ribosomal RNA
Source: RNAcentral